CUUCUUUUCUUUUUUUUUUUUAAUUCUUUUUUUCCCUAAAAAUGCAUUACCAGUGCAACUCAUCCAUAUUUCCACCACCUUCUCCCUCCUGUUCUCGCGCUGAAGUCUAUAAUGCUGAAAUUAUAGCAUCCCCCUCGUCACCAUGGCAACGCUCAGGGAUGUAUUUAAAAAAAAAAAAAAAAAAAAAGACCAGAAGCCCUCCAAGGAUUAUGACUUCAGUGAGGGAUCAGGCUGGAGGGGAAUCUGGGUCAUGGCUGGAGCAGGCUUUUCUUCCAGCCUGUCUUCAGUAAUUCCCCUUACAGCACCGGGGCCGCGUCAGGGCAGGGCAGGACAGAGCUGCCACUGGCACCCAUGGGUGCCCUCAAGGGGCUCCAGCUGCUCUGGGGGGUGCUGCCUCCCUCUAAAUGAGCCUUCUUAUUGCCCAUGUACACUCUGGGAAAGAGCAUCCUCUGCAAGCUCAGGAUUCCCACCCAAUAUUGAGGUGUUUGAACCAAACCCUUUUUGUGGUGCCUGCAGGAGUGCCAGAGCCCUGCUCCCCCUCCACCCCGCUUUGUGCACUGCAAGCUUUCUCUCUCAUCCCCCAAAAUAAACAGGACUUUUUAAAAUAUAUUUUUUUUACUCCUCUUCUUCUUUUUAUUUUUUUUUCCUCCCUUUUUCCACACCCCCAGAGCCGCUGUUGCUGGUGGCAGGGAGCCCAGACUCUGUAGGAACUCAGAAAUGCUGCGAAUCCAAGCCCUGGCUGCCCUCUCAGUUUCGCAAUCCUUUGGAAGGGGGGAGAGAGAGAAGGAAUAAAAUGGGAGGGGAUUUUUUUUUUCUUUAUUAGAGAUUUAUAGACUUUCCCACCAGUAGGGACAAGGAGCUGGAGCCGAGCGGCCAAUUUCCUACAGUAAGUUUCCAACACUGCUCCUCUCUGGCCACUGCAAAACCCUCUGCAGCCUCUCCUCUGGUGGGUUGGGCUGGUGAAAUUUUUGGAAAACCAUGGGAAAUGCUGGCAUUUCCAGUGCUGGGGGGGGUUGGCAGUGUGAGGGGCUGCUGAUGUAGGGGGUGGUGGGCCAGCACCUCCCAUGGGCUAAGUGAUGCUAAGGGCCAGGAAAAAUGAGCUCAGGUGGUGCUUUUUGAGCAAUUAAAGCCUUUUCUCGACCUGUUUUUUGGUUGCAUGUGAACCCUUUGGCUUGGGCUUCGUGGUGGUGCCUGAGAGCUGCUCAUGGCUGCUGGUCCCUCCAGCCAGCUCGGUGCUGCUGGGGCACGUUCCCUGCUGUCCUCAUCCCCCUCAGCCAUUUGGCCUCUUGAGGAGAGAGUUUGUGCAGCUCCUUGUGCGCUGCUGUGGAGGGGCCCAGCCAAUGCCACGGUGGCUCCUGUCCCCACAGAUGCCAUUUUAUCCCUGCCUGGUGCUGGACAUGGGGCAGGGUGUGAGGGUUCAGCUCCUGGCCCUGCUUUGCACCCUCGUGCAGGAUCUGACCCUCUGCCAGUGCUCCUGCUGGAGGAAAAAAUCCUCCCUUAAGCUGUGCCUGGAUGAGAUCUGAGUGCUGGCAGCUCUGCUCCCAGUAUCCAGUGAUUAAUGGGAUUAAAUUGGUUCCCCUAGUGAGGUUUUUUUUUCUUUUGCAUCUGGUUUUCUCAAGACUUUUUAAGCAGGGGGAGGCCGGGGCCAUGUCGCACUGAGAUCUGAUUAGAUAAGGGAGAGCUGCCUGUGAACAAAAUUCCUACCGGAUAAUUAUUUAUACCUCCAUGUGCGUCACUAAUAAACAUCUGGAUCUGCUCCAAACAUCUUCAUUUGAUUUGUUUUGUAGUCUCUCAACAGGGAUGUUUCUCAGCUCCCCACCUCCCUCUUGUCGUGUGGCUGAAAUGAGGGGUGGGUUUGAGCAGUUGCCCCCAGCACCAGCCUUGCUCUCCCAUUUCCCCCUGGGCAUUUUUGCACUCUUGGGGCUGCUUUAACAAAUUCCCACUCCUGGGUGCCCGUGAUGGGGCGACAGUCACGUUGCCCUUUCUCAGGAGGAGAAAAUAUGUGGUGUUGGUGGUUGAAGAAAAAAAUAUGAGUGGUCAAAACAAGCCAAAAAGCAACCCCAGAUGUGUUGCCUUCUAUUUUAAACAUCCUCGUUUGAUUUGGGGGCGAACCAGACUCCUGACCUUUCGGAGCACGUGGGGCUGGCAGUCACGCCAAGCUCUCCCAGGCCAGGGCUGACUUCUUGCUCUGUUUGUGUAGAGCCAAGAAAUUACUAUUAAUAACUUUCCCUGAAUGAGAGCUGAGUACCUGCUUCCCUGGGGCUCCUUGGAAGGCUCCGGCUUGGGCGGAUAACAUCAACAGUCAUUAUGAACGGCACUGAGAGCAUCGGCCGCAGCUGGGAUGCAGAUGGGAAGGGACUGAUGUGGGAGGGGAGACAUGAAGGAAGCCUCUGGCUGGCUGUGAAGCGCCUUGGGCAGGGCUUGCAGGCGCCACGAGCCAUUUUUUGUGUGUUCCUCCAUCCUUUUUACAGCCCUGGCCCCUCUUUGCACGAACGCGAUGCGAAAACCAUCCCGAGUCGCCGGAGCCAGCGGCGAAUGCCAGCUCCAUCCAUGUUGGCUCUAAUCUGUGUCUCACCUCUGCUGGGCUGUCAGGAGGGAAAAAAAAUAAAUAAAAAAGUUUCAGUGCUGCA
Molecule: non-coding RNA, 2630 nt
Organism: Zonotrichia albicollis (white-throated sparrow)
Lineage: Eukaryota; Metazoa; Chordata; Aves; Passeriformes; Passerellidae
Source: RefSeq, a predicted model, not a curated record